GGGAAUUAGUGCCAUCCCAUCCCUAAAGUCCUGCAUUAAACACCAUCUAGCGAAGAAGGAAUCAAAGACGAAAUGCUGCCAUCUAGCAAUAAAAAAGGAAAGGCUUACACGGAACUGACGGAACCAAAGUAAACACCAACAUGGCGGCGACCGGCGAGGUGUUAACCGUGAAGUGUUGACUGUCGUUCAAUCGUUCUAUUAACUACCUGUCACUUAUUUUCCUUGCACUGAAUAACUCUCAAGUCUCAAGUUAUUUUAUAGUCUUUCAGUAACUAAGCUUAGAAAAGCGCAAGUGGAACAUGUGAUUAGCACUUAGCAGCAAGAGUUGGAAUGAAGAACAGUUCAGCAGGCCUACAAUUGGACAACUGUGACAGCUAGGAACUUUUGGGAGUUGCUGUUGAUUUCUAUCUCCGAAGUCAGAAUUUCUCAGAAAUAAAUUACUUGAUACAUCAGUCUUCAAUGGUGAAUAAUAACAAAAAGAUGAGGAAUGUGGAUCAAAAACAGUGUUGGAGUAGAAUGUUUGAUUUAUCAUAGAAAUUGGAUAGAAAGGAGGAGAAUAUUCCCAUUUGUUCCAGUAGUAGAAGGAAUAGUCUUGCUGCUGUGGUUGCUGAUCCGUUCGGAAUCCAUUCGAGUGAUUGAAAUCGGACUUGGGACUAACGACGCCUUGUGGACAGCUGGCCAUUCGUAUUGAAGUGGAGACAAUGAUGAUCCGGACGUCGAGCAGUUAAUUGUUUCCACGGGUGGAACAGUCGGAGGAUCCGAAUAAAAUCCAGGAGUUGGAAGGACUUGAGUUGAGACAGACUAACCUUGUCGACUUUGACGAGAAACGCAAGGCGUUGAUCGACGAUGUUGGCGAUUUGUUUCACGAGUUGAUGUUGAGACUCGUGAAGAUCCAAGUUGGCGGGCUCGUCGACGGCAAUUCUGAAACCACCACUGAUGCAAUCAAAAAGAGAAAUUAAUUUCAGAAACUCCAAUCAGCUGGACCAUUCGGCGACGACCUUCUCGAUUGGGAAACGGAUCUCUGGUGAGCUCUGCCCUCUGCGUCGAGUAGCUCCACCUGGACCUGGAUUAGGAGGUCUGUUUCGUUCUUUAGCGAAGGGGUUGCUCCUUUUCCGACUUUGAAAGGAUUAACUGAGUGACAUAAAAAUGCCUCAUUCCUUCUUAAGGCUGUAUGCAUUAACCUAAUAACUAAUCAAUUGAGUGUAUUUAGGUUUACUGAAUUUUUUGCAAGUAAAAAAUUAUCCAGGCGGAAGUACUCAAUCGGCAUUGCUGUCCAGGAUCAACAGCUUAUUUGAGAAUUUAGUUCGGCGUUUGACUUCUCAAUGGUUCCCAGCUGAAAAUGGAUUGUUAAACGAAGAGUAAUUUUAUAAGAUUUUUUUAUAAGCGAAGUGUGUAGAAGCCCACAAGGAAGGACACAAGAAAAUGUUUUAAAAAUCACUUUGAUUAUAAAGUUCGUGAGAAAAAAAGGUUUUGAGGUGAAAGAAGCAAACUCGCUUCGUUCUCACGUCCCUCACACGGUAAAAAACCAUUCGUUGCCGUAAGUUAGGACAAUAGUGACCCAACGACCCCAGUUCCUUGAAGGUGGCAGUCACGACAUUAGGUGAAUAAUUGUGAGUUGAAGAUAAGUCGUUUGGAGGUGCAACACAGUUGGAGUAAAACAUUGGAUUGGGUACAGAAGAUGAACAGAAAGGAUGGAGGAGAGUAUUUGCAGUUGUUCCAGUAAUAGGAGGAAUAGUAUUGUUGCUUUGACUGCUGUUCCGGGCGAACUCUCCGUCCAAUUGCUCCUCCAGCUGGACCUCGUCGUAGAACUGGCGCUGCUGCCCUGAUCGGGAACAUUUUUAAGUGGAACCAACUGCAUAAUAAAUAAUCUGAAGGAGAAAGCAGAGUAAAUGAACUGCCGCUACUUACAGUCAUGCACACCCUUUGGCUUCUUGAGCACAGCCGCAUCGCUGCAAUUUUGUACACGGUGGUUCCGAGACAGACGAAUGAGUUUUACUUUCAACAUGCCCGGCGAAUUGUUAUUGCUGAAAUGCAACACAUAAUUUACAAUGAAUACUUGCCCGUCAUAAUUGUUCCUAUGAUGGCUGCCAAAGUUGCGUUGGGAAAUGGCUAUUUAAAUACUGGAAAUCCGGCGAUAUUUACCGAGAUCUUCAUUGCCGCCUUCCGCAAGGGCCACUCUCAAUUGAAAAGCUUCAUACGACUGUUUGAGAGAGACGGAAGUUUCAGCAGAGAUAGUAACCAACUUAUCAGCUCUCAGAUUCGUUCGAUAACUCCUCCCGGCUUUUUGGAUCCAAUUUCGUGGAUAAGGCUCUUCGGGGCCUCCUUCAUGUACCUGCCGAAGAAGUGGACAGCUCUUUUGCUUUCGACAUCACAAGUCAACUUGUUAAGCCAAAAGGAGUACACUUGGACUGGAUCUGACAGCUCUCAACAUUCAACGAGGAAGAGAUCAACGGCCUGCCAACAUACGCUAAAAUGCUGGCUUUCUUCGGAAAACCUUUGCCGUCUAGUUUCGACCAAUACCGAUAUUUCCGGUGUUCAUGUCAAAAUAAUGAAUGAAGUCGUCUCAUAUCGAUUUUUUAAAAAUCCAUAAUGUAAUGACAUAUUCGUAUCAGGUCGUCAACGCUAUGAAGUUCGUGUACGAGUCAGUGUACGACAUUGACCUGUUUAUUGGCGGAGUGACCAAAUAGGCGAAUACCCAAUAACCGACGCUGUGCUCGGCCCCACAUUCGCCGAUAUCUUCGCCUUUCAAUUUUCGAAUCUGAGGCGGAGUGAUCGUUUCUUUUACAAAUUCAAUGUCGAUCAACCCACCAGCUUCAGAUCAGGUCAACUGGCAGAAAUUCAAAAAGUUUCUUUGGCGCGCAUUAUAUGUGACAACAGCGAUGUCAUCCAACCCAAAGCUUUCCGCACUCCCCACGAGAUUCAAUUAAUAUUUGGAUUUUGGAUGAUGUUCGAGCUGUCUGAAAAAGUAAAAAUCUGUCUCCCUGUCUGUCUGGAACGGGAAGCAGUCCAGCCCAGUCCUGCCGUUCAUUAUGCUGCGAGUAAUCUGUCGACUGUCACUAGGUGGCUAAAACCUAAAAUUAUGUCCACCAGAUGGCGAUGAGUCCAUCGGUUAGCGAGUGACAAUUGUCGCCAUUUUCUCCCGAGACGAAGAGCGAGUGUGAUUCUGAAUGGAAAUCGUUGUGAUGUACGGCAAAUUGAAAAGCCUAGUAUUUCUAUUUCGCUUGGAGCAGCUAUGGUACAUUUUUCCCAAAUGUCGUUAAUGAUGUCUUUUCCCUAUACGGUCCCUGCACCUGCUGCACGUUUUGGUCAAAAAAACUUCAGAACAAUUAAAGCUAACAGCCUGCAAAAGUCUGAGCUCCUUUGUUGCUGCCCCUUAUGCACACAGGUAUUUGAUGCAGCCAGCUGGUUAAGGAAUGUUCCUCUUGCUACCUGUACCUGUAGUCCUGUACUGCUUUUUGAACAUAGUUUCUAUUUCUAGUUCUUUUAACUAUGUUGGUACGACCAACAAUUGUGUAGCUUUUUAUUUGCAGAAAUUUUCUGAAUCAAUAAUAAAAUAAGAUAAGGUUAA
Daphnia pulex (common water flea) is the source of this 3568-nucleotide long non-coding RNA. RefSeq lists it as uncharacterized. NCBI's taxonomy places the organism in Eukaryota, Metazoa, Arthropoda, Branchiopoda, Diplostraca, Daphniidae. The record is from RefSeq and is a predicted model, not a curated record. The transcript is spliced from 19 exons.